GUGUGUGUGUGUGUGUGUGUGUGUGUGUGUGUGUGUGUGUGUGUGUGUGUGUGUGUGUGUGUGUGUGUGUGUGUGUGUGUGUGUGUGUGAACGAAUGCUUCCUAAAGCAGAGAAGAAAGACACGAUGCGUUGAUGAUAGGCCCGUAAUUCCGGUUUUAUUCCUUCUUGAACCAACAAGACGGGACACUUAGGAGCAGAAUGCCCUGCGGACACAGCGCCCGGCACUGUUCCUGAAGAAGCCGUUGGAGCAGAAGCAACCCGUGCGGCAAUCGUACGUGCACUUGGUAGGCGGUCUCGGAUUGGCGCAGGUCAGUUCUGCGCAUGUGCUGCUCUGACACUGCUUCAACACCUCGCCCUGGUCGCACCGCGGCGGACUAGGAAAGCCCGGAACCGGCACUGCAAAUGGUGUAAACGCUUGGAUCCAAUGAUAUGCUGCAGUAAAAACUGCAAAGGGACAAGUCUUGCGGGCUCACGUCAGAGCUGUAUCAGUGCUGAAUCAGCCCUGAUGUGAGCCCGGCACACUUCUUCCUACCCUCAAUGCUCAAGAGAAGCCAAAAAAGUCACUGUUUCGACGGCGUUCUUGCCAUCGAACGUGCUGUCACAGUCUGUGAAAGAGGUCACGGCAGCUGACUUUCAGGGAGCCUUUUCAGCAUCAGAAUCGUGUUGUAACCGGUGCAUCGACGCCCGAGGAAGCUAUUUUGACGAAUUUAAAUAAUAUGUACCGAUCGGAUCAAUAAAUUCUUUUUACCAGACCCAGUCUGAUUAACUUA
This is a long non-coding RNA of Rhipicephalus sanguineus (brown dog tick), 770 nucleotides long. RefSeq lists it as uncharacterized. The record is from RefSeq and is a predicted model, not a curated record. The transcript is spliced from 2 exons. NCBI's taxonomy places the organism in Eukaryota, Metazoa, Arthropoda, Arachnida, Ixodida, Ixodidae.